GUAAUUAUUACAAUACUUUCCGCCAGAGAACUACAAGUGAAAAACUUGAAACUCAAAGGACUUGACGGUGUCCCAUAUCGACCUAGAGGAGCCUGUCCUAUAAUCGAUACCCCCCGUUCCACCCAACCCCAACUAGCAAAAUAUCAGCCUAUAUACCGCCGUCGACAGUCUACCCCAUGAGGGUUCAACAGUAGACACAAUAGCCUUAACGCUAAUACGUCAGGUCAAGGUGUAGCAAAUGUUGAGGAAAAGAUUGGCUACAUUUUUUAUGAUAAAAAACACGAAUUGCACUAUGAAACACUGCAUGAAGGUGAAUUUAGUAGUAAAACAGACAAGAGUGUCUGUUU
Molecule: ribosomal RNA, 347 nt
Filed under: Podarcis tiliguerta
Lineage: Eukaryota; Metazoa; Chordata; Lepidosauria; Squamata; Lacertidae
Description: 12S ribosomal RNA
Rfam family: Bacterial small subunit ribosomal RNA
Source: RNAcentral